Non-coding RNA from Paramuricea clavata, 1401 nucleotides. Lineage: Eukaryota; Metazoa; Cnidaria; Anthozoa; Malacalcyonacea; Plexauridae. The record is from the annotation of a GenBank genome assembly.
UGGAUGGAUUAUUUUACUGAAGUGUUUGAAUCAAAAUUAUUUGCAGUGAAUAUAUUCACAAACUUAAUUAAUUUAAAAGUUCGUAUUGUGCGCAUGCUCGCAUCACGUUAAAGCACAUCGUCCAAAAGGCUGCACUGUGUGCCUUUAAAUUCUAUAGAAUGCUAAUAAAGUCAAUAUGUGGUUAUAUCAGUUUUAGAAUCAGGGUUGUUCUCGUGAUUGACUACUUUUGUGCGUUGACAAAUUCCUGACGAGUUACAUAAUUUUGCAGUAACUUAUUGUGUCUAUUGUCGAUUUCAAGUCACUUUUCAACGCGCGGUUCCCAAUUUCGUUGCGAACUUGCCAAUUACGUUUCCAAGUUCGAAAAUUGGGCGUGAACUUCGCAACGAAGUUCGCAAGUUACUGAUUUGAAUGCUUGAACUUCGUUUGUAAACAAAUGUUCAUACUCGAUAAUAAUAACCAAUUCAAUGAAAUACAAACCUUCUUGGUAGACCACUGGACCAAGAACUUUCCAUUGAAUUGUUAAUUUCAACUUGAACUAUGAACAUUUGUUUACAAUGGAAGUUCGAAUAUUGAAAUGAACUUGCGAACUUCGUUGCGAAGUUCACGCCUAAUUUCCGAACACGAACUUCGGACCCGCGCGCUGAAAAGUGACCUGAAAACGACAAUAAGCCCCCCCCCCCCGUCAAACGAGUUGAUGAGAGUUGUAAGUCAUCCGUUGUUGGCAAGCGGUCAUUAUUUAUCGGGGGGGGGGCACCGAAGAGAAAAGGGUUGGGUAAACAAAAUUUUGAGUGAGUAAAAGGUUGGGUAAAUGAGAAACAAAACAACUCAAGGGUUGGGUAACAAAAUUUUAUUGUCAUUUCAAAAGCAUGACUCACUCAAAUAUUGAAGACCAAAAAGCAUUGUCAACAGUCAUAUGUCAAUACAAUAUGUAAAUCAAUCAGAGUCACUAUCUUGGUCAUUUUCCGAUUUGUCAGGAGGCAAAUGGUGUCUCCAAAGAAAGUACAUGUGCAGACAACAUGAAACUUUAGACUGCAGAAAAUUGCACAAGCAGUUAUCAAACUCAUGUCAGAGAAGUGUAAAGCUUGUGAAGUUUUAGGCCAGAUGUGGGUAUUUAUUUUUUAAUUGAUAUUUGAGGUUGGGUAGAAACUUUUUUGACUUUUUAAUAGAUGGAUCAACAAAAUUUUAGCAAUAAAAACAUUUCUCUUUGGUGCCACUUCCCGCCAUAAAAAUUAUCGGUCCCUUAUACGAAGACAAUUAUAGUUCCAGAUUAACAAAAUAAAGAUUUCCAAUAAAGUGUUCCAGCCAUAGAUAUCUUAUAUACACUAGAUAGCGCAUCUCUUUUAGUAAAAUUGAAGCCAAGAAUAUUCCAGCGGUUACCCCCAUUUGAAUAGAUGGCGGCCA